AUGGGAUGUAAUAGUCGAGAAAAUAAGGCUGCGCCAGAGCAAAAAAUAACUACUUUAUCCAGUAAAAAGAAGUGCUUUGCUUGUAAAGAGACAUCACACAAUUUGGAUCAAUGCAGGAUAAAAGACAAACUGGGUACUGCAGCCCAGCUAUUUGGACAUUCUACAAGGUUUCCAUUCUACAUGAUUCAGCCUUCAAAGGAAGUUGUCGAAAAUGAAAAGUUCUACUAUCACUGCCUGCUGAUCACAUCUAAUGCCUGUAACUUGGACCCGGCAGCAGUGAAAAUUGAACUAAACAAGUUCUGGAAGCUGACUGAUGAUUGGUAUAUAAAGAGAGAAGGUAGACAGAAUUUCGUAGCAUCCUUCAACUCAGAGGAUGACCUACUAAGCUGUUUAAAUCCUCCCAAUAUAGAAACAUUUCUGGAUGAAAAGGAGGUGAAUUUUACUGUAGCAAGGUGGGAUGAAGGUGAUGGGGAGAAACUUGACUUGAUCAGAGAGUGGCUUUUGGUCUAUGGGGUCCCAGGUGCAUAUAGAAACUGGAAGGAGCUAUAUCAAGUUGCAUCUGCAGUUGGAGUUUUGCUUGAGGUGGAUGAGGAAAGUUUGGAAAGCGGAGAUAAGGAGCCUAUUAGGUUGAGGAUAGCAUUGGGAAGUCUUGUUGGUGCUCCUUUCUCUUACCACUUUGUGUUUGGAUGGUCAUCUAGACUAGUCAAGUUCAUGAUUGAAGACAAAGCAAGAAGGAUAGAAGGGCAAUGGAAGGAAGUAGAAGAACGGAAGGUCAGCGUCAUGAAGGAAUAUGCAGAUAUAAGAGAAGAAGGUAUUGAGGUACCUCCAGAAACACCGAAUAAAAGAAUGGAUUUAGAGGGCACUGGAAUUGAUUUCGCGGGCAAUUAUUCUUUGGAUUUUGGAACUUGCUCACGCAAGGAAUGUAAAGAACUGAAAACCACAGAACGAAAUGGUAACAUCAUGAAGGAAUAUGCAGAUAUAAGAGAAGAAGGUAUUGAGGUACCUGCAGAAACACUGAAUGAAGGAAUGGAUUUGGAGGGCACUGAAGUAGAUUUCGCAGGCAAUUAUUCUUUGGAUUUCAGAAGUUGCUCAGGCAAGGAAUGUAAAGAAGAACUGAAAACCACAGAAGGGAAUGGUAGCGUCAUGAUGGAAUAUGCAGAUAUAAGAGAAGAAGGUAUUGAGGUACCUGCAGAAACACUGAAUGAAGGAAUGGAUUUAGAGGGCACUGGAGUAGAUUUCACAUGCAAUUAUUCUUUGGAUUUCAGAAGUUGCUCAGGCAAGGAAUGUAAAGAAGAACCGAAAAUCACAGAAGGGAAUGGUAGCGUCAUGAUGGAAUAUGCAGAUAUAAGAGAAGAGGGUAUUGAGGUACCUCCAGAAACACUGAAUAAAGGAAUGGAUUUAGAGGGCACUGGAGUAGAUUUCGCAGGCAAUUAUUCUUUGGAUUUCGGAAGUUGCCCAGGCAAGGAAUGUAAAGAAGAACUGAAAACCACAGAACGGAAUGGUAGUGUCAUGAAGGAAUAUGCAGAUAUAAGAGAAGAAGGUAUUGAGGUACCUCUAGAAACACUGAAUAAAGGAAUGGAUUUAGAGGGCACUGGAGUAGAUUUCGCAGGCAAUUAUUCUUUGGAUUUUGGAAGUUGCUUAGGCAAGGAAUGUAAAGAAGAACCGAAGACCACAGAAACAGGUACAUUGCUGGAAGUAGCAAAGUUCAUUCCAGAGUUAAGAGCUGAUGAAGAGAUCGAGGAAAACAGCAUAAGUGCUAUGGCAGCCACCACAACAAACUCGAAGAAAGCAGCAGAAGGGGGGCAAUCCCCAAGUGAAAGCUCGGCAAGAGGUGAUCAUAUGUCGGGUUUGGAAGAUUGUUCUGACAAGAAACAUCAAAAGAAACUGAUGGCCUGCGACAUGGCUACAUUUCUGCAAGUGUCGAAGUUCACUGAAGAGUUUAAAACUGAUGGAGAGAUCAAAGAAAACAAUGCAAGUGCUAUAGUGGGCACCAGAACGAACUCUGAGGGAGCUACAGAAGACAUUCCAAAAGCUAUAGAAGACAUGGCUACGUUGCUGCAAGCGUCGAAGUUCACUGAAGAGUUAAGAACUGAUAGAGAGAUCAAAGAAAACAAUGCAAGUGCUAUACUGGGCACCAGAACGAACUCCGAGAGAGCUACAGAAGACAUUACAAAAGCUACAGAAGACAUGGCUACAUCGCUGCAAGUGUCGAAGUUCACUGAAGAGUUAAGAACUAAUGGAGAGAUCAAAGAAAACAAUGCAAGUGCUAUAGUGGAUACCAGAACGAACUCGGAGAGAGCUACAGAAGACGUUCCAAAAGCUGAAGGUGGGCAAUCCAUAAGUGGAAGUUCAACUUCGACAAGCUUGAUUGAAGAGGUCUUCAGAGGUCACAAGCCAUCUAUAAAAAAUGUGUACACAAGAAGAGAUCGGAAGCAAAAAAAAUCGACAGAAGGUUCCACUUUGUGUGCUAACAUCAGUUCUGACAGUGCCCAUGAAGGUUUACAGAAGCCACCUAUAAAAACUAUGUACGAGGGAAGUGAUCCCAAGCAAAAAGGAUCCACAGGGGGGCAAGUUGCUUCAAAGGAACUGAACAAAGGAAUAAACCCAGGGAGCAGCAGUCACGCCACAAGGAUUGCAACCUCAACAUGCAAUAUGUUGGACUCAGAAAGUUUAUUGGAAAAGGAACACGAGAAAGAAAUGAAAAUGGCAGAAACAGCAGCAAAGACUGUGGGAGCUGAAGGAGCACAAUCUAUCAAGGGAAGUUCAGCAUGCAUGCUUAGAGUAACUCAGACAAAAGGUGUUGACAUGGCUGGAACGACACCAGAAGGAGCUUGGUUUGAUGGAAAGCAGCCUGUUUCUAAGAUGACUACGCGGCUAACUCAAUUUUACGAGGAGUUCAACACAUACAAUGAAAUCUAUGACAGUUUCGUUGAGAUGGGUCUUCAAGAAAAUCUGCUGAAAGGAAUAUAUGCAUAUGGCCUGGAGAAGCCUUCUUUAGUCCAUCAACGAGGAAUUGUCCCAUUGUGCAAGGGUCUGGAUGUUAUCCAGCAGUCACUGUCUGGAACAACUGUGACACUUGCCUGUGGAGUUCUCCAGCGACUCGAUUAUGGAUCCACGGAAUGCCAAGCUUUGGUUCUUGUGCCAACGCGUGACUUGGCACAGGAGACCGAGAAAGUUAUUGGAGCACUUGGUCAGUGGCUAGGUGUCAAAGCUCAUGCUUGUCUUGGAGGAACUAGUGUUCGUGAGCACAAGCAAAUUUUGUCCAGCAGCACCCAGGUUAUUGUCGCUACUCCUAGCCGCGCUCUGGACAUGCUGAGAACACGAGCGCUCUGUCCAGAUAACGUCAGAAUGUUUGUCUUGGAUGAAGCAGAUGAAAUACUCGCAGGAGGUUUGAAGAACCAGAUCUAUGAUAUUAUCCAGCUUCUCCCAGCCAAAAUCCAGUUUGCUGUAUUCUCUGCCACCAUGUCCAAUGAAGCUCUCGAACUUUGCCGGAAGUGCAUGAAUAAGCCUAUGAAGAUCAUAGUGCCGAAAGAUGAAGAAUUGGAGGGUUUUAGUGUUAAGCAGUUCCAUGUUAAAGCUGAGGAUGAAGAGUUGAAGUUUGAAAAAUUAUGUGAUCUUUUUGACACCAUGGCGGUCACGCAAAACAUCAUCUUUGUCAACGCACGUCGGAAGGUUGAGUCACUGGCCGAAAAGAUCAGUGGCAGGGGGUACACCGUCUCGGCAAGCCAUGGUGGUAUGGACCAGCACGCCAGAGAUGUUGCCGUCCAGGAUCUCCGGUCGGGAUCAUCUCGUGUCCUCGUCACCACCGACCUUCGUGGCGCCGACGCAUUGCAGGUCCCUGUUGUCAUCAACUAUGAUCUGCCAACACAACCAGUACAAUACCUUCGUCAUGUUCGACGAAGUGGACAGCCUGGAGGGACUGGUGUCGCUAUCAGCUUCGUUGCUCGUGCUGAUGAGCGUGUCCUGUCUGACAUCCAAAGGUUCUGCAGUACUCAGUUGGCAGAGUUACCCUCCGACGUCGCUGACCUCUUGUGA
RNAcentral lists this ribosomal RNA (4035 nucleotides) under Triticum aestivum (bread wheat). Its description in RNAcentral is "partial small subunit ribosomal RNA". The record is from RNAcentral. Lineage: Eukaryota; Viridiplantae; Streptophyta; Magnoliopsida; Poales; Poaceae.